CUACGGGUCGCACCAGUGGGAAAUAUUGCACAAUGGGCGCAAGCCUGAUGCAGCCAUGCCGCGUGUAUGAAGAAGGCCUUCGGGUUGUAAAGUACUUUCAGCGGGGAGGAAGGGAGUAAAGUUAAUACCUUUGCUCAUUGACGUUACCCGCAGAAGAAGCACCGGCUAAAGCCGUGCCAGCAGCCGCGGUAAUACGGAGGGUGCAAGCGUUAAUCGGAAUUACUGGGCGUAAAGCGCACGCAGGCGGUUUGUUAAGUCAGAUGUGAAAUCCCCGGGCUCAACCUGGGAACUGCAUCUGAUACUGGCAAGCUUGAGUCUCGUAGAGGGGGGUAGAAUUCCAGGUGUAGCGGUGAAAUGCGUAGAGAUCUGGAGGAAUACCGGUGGCGAAGGCGGCCCCCUGGACGAAGACUGACGCUCAGGUGCGAAAGCGUGGGGAGCAAACAGGAUUAGAUACCCGUGUAGUC
This 464-nucleotide ribosomal RNA is filed under the name uncultured bacterium. RNAcentral describes it as "partial 16S ribosomal RNA". It matches the Rfam family "Bacterial small subunit ribosomal RNA", at positions 339 to 795 of the family's 1533-position model. The record is from RNAcentral.